GGGAAUCUGCCCUUGGGUUCGGAAUAACAGUGAGAAAUUACUGCUAAUACCGGAUGAUGUCUUCGGACCAAAGAUUUAUCGCCCAGGGAUGAGCCCGCGUAGGAUUAGGUAGUUGGUGGGGUAAUGGCCUACCCAGCCGACGAUCCUUAGCUGGUCUGAGAGGAUGAUCAGCCACACUGGGACUGAGACACGGCCCAGACUCCUACGGGAGGCAGCAGUGGGGAAUAUUGGACAAUGGGCGAAAGCCUGAUCCAGCAAUGCCGCGUGAGUGAUGAAGGCCUUAGGGUUGUAAAGCUCUUUUACCCGGGAUGAUAAUGACAGUACCGGGAGAAUAAGCUCCGGCUAACUCCGUGCCAGCAGCCGCGGUAAUACGGAGGGAGCUAGCGUUGUUCGGAAUUACUGGGCGUAAAGCGCGCGUAGGCGGCUGCUCAAGUCAGAGGUGAAAGCCCGGGGCUCAACCCCGGAACUGCCUUUGAAACUAGGUAGCUAGAAUCUUGGAGAGGUCAGUGGAAUUCCGAGU
Molecule: ribosomal RNA, 520 nt
Filed under: uncultured bacterium
Lineage: Bacteria
Description: bacterial SSU rRNA
Rfam family: Bacterial small subunit ribosomal RNA
Source: RNAcentral